Long non-coding RNA from Pseudophryne corroboree (corroboree frog), 1130 nucleotides. RefSeq lists it as uncharacterized. The transcript has 4 exons. The record is from RefSeq and is a predicted model, not a curated record. NCBI's taxonomy places the organism in Eukaryota, Metazoa, Chordata, Amphibia, Anura, Myobatrachidae.
UAUUUUACAGUGAGUCCUGCUGGCAACCAGGCACGGAUAGAAAGGGGGGCGAUGGGGGAGGUCGCCCCCCCUAACACACUGCAGCUUUCAGUGUGAUGAGAUGAGAUAUAGACAGUGUCUCAGCAAUCCCGCUCCCUCCUCCCAGCUUGUGUACUCCCUGCUGAGCAGAGGCUGCAGAGCUCUCACACGCAGCGUCUCUCCUCCUUCCCAAUCACUCCUUUGGCUCAUAGGGCAGGCAAUAAAGAUAAGUUUGUUGACUGUGGAGUGGGAUUCUCACCCCAGUGUCUCCACACAGAUGAUCAAAGGAGAUCCGUCCGGGAACUGGCUGCUUGUUGGAGGCGGGGCUAAAGUUACUUGACAGGCUAGUCGACAAAUGAAAAACACUAUAGUGUUGGGUGGGCUGAACAUGUCUGUGUACAGUGUACACAGGAAGUGGAAGCAGGAAGGAGCUGUGCGUUCCAUUUCUACUUUGAUUCAACUUACCUUGGCUGCAGUGUGAGACCAGCCUGAUGCUGCUGCCAGAGGGACAACGGCCAGCCUGCUGCUGUGGCCAGAGGACAAGGAUCAACCUACUGCCUGCCAGCCAGAGACCUACCAGCAAUCUGCAACUUAGUAUAAUCUGGCAAAGAGAUUGGCAGAGUGUCGGGUGACCGGCAAAGAGAUCUGCAAAGUGUCAGUUGAAAACGACGGGAGGGGUCGCAGAGGUAGCAAUGACUGGAGUAUAACAUGAAGGAGAUCAUCAUUUGGCAAAGUUCUGGCAAAGAGAUUUGCAGAGUGUCGGGUGACCGGCUAAGAGAUCUGCAAAGUGUCAGUUGAAGACGACGGGAGGGGUCGCAGAGGAAUUAGUGACUGGAGAAUAGCAUGCAGGAGUGGGUGAUCCCUGAACAGCUGCGCUGGGAGGAGAGCUGCGGACACAUGCUCCAAAUAUUGGGACAUAUGCAUUACCUAUUAGGAGAUGCAGUAAAGAUGCCGGCUGUCGGGUUUACGGCAGUCAGAAUACUGACUCUGGGGUCCCGACACUCUUCAGAAUCCCGACGUUGGAACUCCGAAUGGGCAAGGAUACCGACGCCCGUAUCCCCACGAUCAUAGGUUUCGGGCUGGGCAAGGGGGGUUAGGUUUAGGCAUCAGGC